This 397-nucleotide ribosomal RNA is filed under the name uncultured bacterium. RNAcentral describes it as "partial 16S ribosomal RNA". It matches the Rfam family "Bacterial small subunit ribosomal RNA", at positions 523 to 918 of the family's 1533-position model. The record is from RNAcentral.
AUACGUAGGGGGCGAGCGUUGUCCGGAAUGAUUGGGCGUAAAGGGCGCGUAGGCGGCGCGGUAAGUCUGGAGUGAAAGUCCUGCUUUCAAGGAUGGAAGUGCUACAGACACUGCGGAGCUUGAGUGCAGGAGAGGUUAUCGGAAUUCCCGGUGUAGCGGUGAAAUGCGUAGAGAUCGGGAGGAACACCAGUGGCGAAGGCGGGUAACUGGACUGCAACUGACGCUGAGGCGCGAAGGUGUGGGGAGCAAACAGGAUUAGAUACCCUGGUAGUCCACACUGUAAACGAUGAAUGCUAGGUGUAGGAGGUAUCGACCCCUUCUGUGCCGCAGUAAACACAGUAAGCAUUCCGCCUGGGGAGUACGGUCGCAAGAUUAAAACUCAAAGGAAUUGACGGGG